CCUACGGGAGGCAGCAGUGGGGAAUAUUGCGCAAUGGGCGAAAGCCUGACGCAGCGACGCCGCGUGAGGGAUGAAGGUCUUCGGAUCGUAAACCUCUGUCAGCAGGGAAGAACGGUCACUGUGCUAAUCAGCAGUGAAUUGACGGUACCUGCAAAGGAAGCACCGGCUAACUCCGAGCCAGCAGCCGCGGCAAUACGGAGGGUGCGAGCGUUAAUCGGAAUUACUGGGCGUAAAGCGCUCGUAGGCGGUAUGUCAAGUCAAGGGUGAAAUCCCCGCGCUCAACGUGGGAACUGCCUUUGAAACUGGCAAACUGGAGUGUGUGAGAGGAUAGUGGAAUUCCAGGUGUAGGAGUGAAAUGCGUAGAUAUCUGGAGGAACAUCAGUGGCGAAGGCGACUAUCUGGCACAUAACUGACGCUGAGGAGCGAAGGCGUGGGUAGCAAACAGGAUUAGAUACCCUAGUAGUC
Molecule: ribosomal RNA, 465 nt
Filed under: uncultured bacterium
Lineage: Bacteria
Description: partial 16S ribosomal RNA
Rfam family: Bacterial small subunit ribosomal RNA
Source: RNAcentral